UAACAUGGAUUGGUAUUGACCGAACAAUGU
RNAcentral lists this non-coding RNA (30 nucleotides) under Mus musculus (house mouse). Lineage: Eukaryota; Metazoa; Chordata; Mammalia; Rodentia; Muridae. The record is from RNAcentral.